This 399-nucleotide ribosomal RNA is filed under the name uncultured bacterium. RNAcentral describes it as "partial 16S ribosomal RNA". It matches the Rfam family "Bacterial small subunit ribosomal RNA", at positions 360 to 776 of the family's 1533-position model. The record is from RNAcentral.
AAUAUUGGACAAUGGGCGAAAGCCUGAUCCAGCCAUGCCGCGUGAGUGACGAAGGUCUUCGGAUUGUAAAGCCCUUUUGGCGGGGACGAUAAUGACGGUACCCGCAGAAUAAGCCCCGGCUAACUUCGUGCCAGCAGCCGCGGUAAUACGAAGGGGGCUAGCGUUGUUCGGAAUUACUGGGCGUAAAGCGCACGUAGGCGGAUUGUUAAGUUAGGGGUGAAAUCCCGGGGCUCAACCUCGGAACCGCCUUUGAUACUGGCAAUCUUGAGUCCGGAAGAGGUGAGUGGAAUUCCUAGUGUAGAGGUGAAAUUCGUAGAUAUUAGGAAGAACACCAGUGGCGAAGGCGGCUCACUGGUCCGGUACUGACGCUGAGGUGCGAAAGCGUGGGGAGCAAACAGG